GAAGAAAUCCAUCAAAGCAUAAGCUCCGACUUUCCGUAGAAGAGGUUCUACAUAGCAAGUUUGGCUUCAAUCUCUUCACUGAAGGAGAAAAGAGGCUCGGAUAGCUGCUAACCCUCACUUCAUCUAGGUUCUUGGCGUGCAAAAAUCUCUGCUGAUAUCAAGGAUCUUUUGUAAAUUGAUUAUGCUGUGUCUUGUUAAUGGUCUUAUAUUUGCUUAAAUUAUUUUGGAAGGGUUUUCAUGCGUUUUUUAUAUAUGUGGUUUUGCUCUCCUAGUCUCCUGAACCAUGACGAAAAGCUUCUAUUAAUAUAUUUCGAAGGUAGAUCUGCUUGGAUGGUCUUUGUGCAACUAUCUUACUAGGCAACCAAUGGAUACAAUAACUUGUGUAGCUAUGUGCUUUCAGAUUUUUUUAAUAAAAUUUUAGUUUUAGAUGUUCUUUAA
This is a long non-coding RNA of Dendrobium catenatum, 438 nucleotides long. RefSeq lists it as uncharacterized. The record is from RefSeq and is a predicted model, not a curated record. The transcript has 2 exons. Lineage: Eukaryota; Viridiplantae; Streptophyta; Magnoliopsida; Asparagales; Orchidaceae.